CAAAAUAUAGCUAAACUAGUAAAGCACCUCCCUUACACCGAGGAGACACCCGUGCAACCCGAGUUAUCUUGA
This 72-nucleotide transfer RNA is filed under the name Beringraja pulchra (mottled skate). RNAcentral describes it as "tRNA-Val". It matches the Rfam family "tRNA". From Rfam's summary of the family: Transfer RNA (tRNA) molecules are approximately 80 nucleotides in length. Their secondary structure includes four short double-helical elements and three loops (D, anti-codon, and T loops). The record is from RNAcentral. Lineage: Eukaryota; Metazoa; Chordata; Chondrichthyes; Rajiformes; Rajidae. RNAcentral also lists the same sequence under 1 other name.